Molecule: ribosomal RNA, 373 nt
Filed under: uncultured bacterium
Lineage: Bacteria
Description: bacterial SSU rRNA
Rfam family: Bacterial small subunit ribosomal RNA
Source: RNAcentral
UAAUACGGAGGGUGCAAGCGUUAUCCGGAUUCACUGGGUUUAAAGGGUGCGUAGGUGGGCAGGUAAGUCAGUGGUGAAAUCUUUGGGCUUAACCCGAAAACUGCCAUUGAUACUAUUUGUCUUGAAUAUUGUGGAGGUCAGCGGAAUAUGUCAUGUAGCGGUGAAAUGCUUAGAUAUGACAUAGAACACCAAUUGCGAAGGCAGCUGGCUACACAUAUAUUGACACUGAUGCACGAAAGCGUGGGGAUCAAACAGGAUUAGAUACCCUGGUAGUCCACGCCCUAAACGAUGGAUACUCGACAUACGCGAUAUACUGUGUGUGUCUGAGCGAAAGCAUUAAGUAUCCCACCUGGGAAGUACGAUCGCAAGAUUG